This 443-nucleotide ribosomal RNA is filed under the name uncultured bacterium. Its description in RNAcentral is "partial 16S ribosomal RNA". It matches the Rfam family "Bacterial small subunit ribosomal RNA", at positions 338 to 795 of the family's 1533-position model. The record is from RNAcentral.
CCUACGGGAGGCAGCAGUGGGGAAUAUUGGGCAAUGGAGGCAACUCUGACCCAGCAACGCCGCGUGAGCGAUGAAGGUCUUCGGAUUGUAAAGCUCUUUAAGCGGGGACGAAGAAAGUGACUGUACCCGCAGAAUAAGCCUCGGCUAACUACGUGCCAGCAGCCGCGGUAAUACGUAGGAGGCAAGCGUUAUCCGGAAUGACUGGGCGUAAAGGGUGCGUAGGUGGUUUGGCAAGUUGGUAGCGUAAUCCCGGGGCUCAACCUCGGUGCUACUACCAAAACUGUUGAACUUGAGUGCAGGAGGGGUGAAUGGAAUUCCUGGUGUAGCGGUGAAAUGCGUAGAUAUCAGGAGGAACACCGGUGGCGAAGGCGGCCUGCUGGACUGCAACUGACGUUGAGGCCCGAAAGCGUGGGGAGCAAACAGGAUUAGAUACCCCAGUAGUC